This 430-nucleotide ribosomal RNA is filed under the name Acidobacteriota bacterium. RNAcentral's name for it is "Acidobacteria bacterium partial 16S ribosomal RNA". It matches the Rfam family "Bacterial small subunit ribosomal RNA", at positions 355 to 776 of the family's 1533-position model. The record is from RNAcentral. Lineage: Bacteria; Pseudomonadati; Acidobacteriota.
UGGGGAAUAUUGGACAAUGGGCGAAAGCCUGAUCCAGCCAUGCCGCGUGUGUGAAGAAGGCCUUUUGGUUGUAAAGCACUUUAAGCGAGGAGGAGGCUACUUAGAUUAAUACUCUAGGAUAGUGGACGUUACUCGCAGAAUAAGCACCGGCUAACUCUGUGCCAGCAGCCGCGGUAAUACAGAGGGUGCGAGCGUUAAUCGGAUUUACUGGGCGUAAAGCGUGCGUAGGCGGCUUUUUAAGUCGGAUGUGAAAUCCCUGAGCUUAACUUAGGAAUUGCAUUCGAUACUGGGAAGCUAGAGUAUGGGAGAGGAUGGUAGAAUUCCAGGUGUAGCGGUGAAAUGCGUAGAGAUCGGGAGGAAUACCGAUGGCGAAGGCAGCCAUCUGGCCUAAUACUGACGCUGAGGUACGAAAGCAUGGGGAGCAAACAGG